RNAcentral lists this long non-coding RNA (1161 nucleotides) under Equus caballus (horse). RNAcentral's name for it is "lncRNA (ENSECAG00000043791.2)". The record is from RNAcentral. Lineage: Eukaryota; Metazoa; Chordata; Mammalia; Perissodactyla; Equidae.
AGAAAACCCAAAAGAUGCAAACCCACCACAUACAAAAGGAUAUAUCAUAUGAGAAACUAGAAAAUUCUUACAGGCAUAAAACUGCCAUGCUAAUUCUUCAAGAGAACAGCAGAGGCAAUUAUGACCUGGACAAAUGAAAACACCACUUUCUGUUAAGUUUAAGAGGCUUUUAAUUCUCUUCUGAAGUAGCGAGGGAGGAAGGAGUGGUCUCUGGCUAGGAAGUACAUGAGAAGCAUUGGUGUCCGAGACUAUUCUUCACAGUACCAGACAGCAUUCUUCAUCUGACUCUGUCAUGAGCAAUGGGAUCCUCAGCUGUGAUCUCAUCUGUCCCAUCAGAGGAGGGGAGUCCUGGACACAGGUCUCAAGGAUGCUAGAGGCAUACAGUCCCCAAGACACAGGAUCUCAGGGACAGGAAAGGAAUUAAUUCUAGAGUGUUCGCAGGAUCUGAAUCACAACUAAUUGUAACAGUAUCUCCACCACCCAGGAUUUGGACUGCAACUGAUCUGCUACUCAACUGGCACCAGCACUGUUGAAAAGGAGAUGUCCCUGAGGGGUAGCCUUGUCUCUCGAAAUGAAUUGAAAUAGUUUCCCCUGGACCUGGAUUCUGCCAGCACCAACCAGACUUCUGUGUACUUCUGAGCCAGCAGUGUACCCACAGCACUGCACAGCCACAUCCUCUCUGCACAAAAAGAGUGCCUUCAAGAUUCCUGACCCUAACUAGGAGAAGUUUCCUCACAAGAUUGCACUGAAGCCCCGCCUGACCUCAAUAUUAUUUAAUUCUCUUUUCCCAUUCAUGUCUGUCAGACUCCUUUCCUUUUAUAAUCAAAGUGUUUCCCCCUGGUUGCUAUUCCCCUAAACUAGAGGGUAUUAACCCAACGUGAAUAUUUUCUAAGAUGAACUUCAAUUUUCAGAUAUGGGUGUAGGGAAAUUCUGAUGAAAUUGAAUUGUGUUCAAAUAAAUAAAGACAAAAAAACCCAGAUGUUCAAAGAUUUUUCAAUGGGGUCUCUCAAUGAGUAAUCAAUCAUGUUGUAUAGGAAAAUAAUUAGGGUAGGGGACUUCCUGAGGUGUGAAAUGGCCUGAGCAUGGGUGAGAGAGGAUGCAGAGGGUAGUGAAAAGUUUGCAGAGGAGAUGUGGGCUCAGGGUUACCCAGAGGGAGGAAAA